UGGCUGUAGCGAUACUUCGGUCUGUUAGUGGCGAACGGGUGAGUAACACGUGAGCAACCUGCCUUUUACACAGGGAUAACAGCCGGAAACGGCUGCUAAUACCGGAUAAGACCACACCGAGGCAUCUCGGAGGGGUCAAAGCGAUUUAGCGGUAAAAAGAUGGGCUCGCGUCCCAUUAGCUAGUUGGUGAGAUAACAGCCCACCAAGGCGACGAUGGGUAGCCGACUUGAGAGAGUGAUCGGCCACAUUGGAACUGAGACACGGUCCAGACUCCUUCGGGAGGCAGCAGUGGGGAAUAUUGGGCAAUGGAGGAAACUCUUACCCAGCAAUGCCGCGUGAAUGAAGAAGGCCUUCGGGUUGUAAAGUUCUUUUAUUGAUGAUAAAGCAAGUGAUAUUAGUCAAUGAAUAAGCCCCGGCUAACUAUGUGCCAGCAGCCGC
RNAcentral lists this ribosomal RNA (438 nucleotides) under uncultured bacterium. RNAcentral describes it as "bacterial SSU rRNA". It matches the Rfam family "Bacterial small subunit ribosomal RNA", at positions 67 to 518 of the family's 1533-position model. The record is from RNAcentral.